UGAUAAAAUUUUCAUCUAUUUUUCUGUUAAAAACUAGUGUGGCUGAUAGAAUAACUAGAGAGUUACAUUCUAUCUAGAGAGUUACAUGUGACGUGUACCUCAUUCUGACAUAUAGAGAUCAGCUUUUAAUAGUAAAAAUAGAUGAAAUUUUUGGUC
This 156-nucleotide microRNA precursor is filed under the name Gossypium hirsutum (cotton). RNAcentral describes it as "MIR7502 microRNA precursor family". It matches the Rfam family "MIR7502 microRNA precursor family". The record is from Rfam by way of RNAcentral. Lineage: Eukaryota; Viridiplantae; Streptophyta; Magnoliopsida; Malvales; Malvaceae.